This 158-nucleotide ribosomal RNA is filed under the name uncultured bacterium. Its description in RNAcentral is "partial 16S ribosomal RNA". It matches the Rfam family "Bacterial small subunit ribosomal RNA", at positions 355 to 509 of the family's 1533-position model. The record is from RNAcentral.
UGAGGAAUAUUGGUCAAUGGCCGGGAGGCUGAACCAGCCAAGUCGCGUGAGGGAAGACGGUCCUAUGGAUUGUAAACCUCUUUUGUCAGGGAGGCAAAAACUGCCACGCGUGGCAGGAUGAGAGUACCUGAAGAAAAAGCAUCGGCUAACUCCGUGCC